Molecule: small RNA, 103 nt
Filed under: uncultured Prevotella sp.
Lineage: Bacteria; Pseudomonadati; Bacteroidota; Bacteroidia; Bacteroidales; Prevotellaceae
Description: RT-5 RNA
Rfam family: RT-5 RNA
About the family: Clostridium (Firmicutes). Environment (Cow rumen (57))
Source: RNAcentral
UGCGCCUGCGAUGGAGGCAGCCUUACCCAGAUUCAGACGUUUUGCAGGCAACGGGGCAAGGUAUCCUCUCGUGAUCCGCAAUUUUGCGGAUUCAAAAUCAUUC